UUCCAGACUCCUACGGGAGGCAGCAGUGAGGAAUAUUGGUCAAUGGGCGGGAGCCUGAACCAGCCAAGUCGCGUGAGGGACGACGGUCCUAUGGAUUGUAAACCUCUUUUGUCGGGGAACAAAGGCGCCCACGGGUGGGCGGAUGAGUGUACCCGAAGAAAAAGCAUCGGCUAACUCCGUGCCAGCAGCCGCGGUAAUACGGAGGGUGCGAGCGUUAAUCGGAAUUACUGGGCGUAAAGCGCUCGUAGGCGGUAUGUCAAGUCAAGGGUGAAAUCCCCGCGCUCAACGUGGGAACUGCCUUUGAAACUGGCAAACUGGAGUGUGUGAGAGGAUAGUGGAAUUCCAGGUGUAGGAGUGAAAUCCGUAGAUAUCUGGAGGAACAUCAGUGGCGAAGGCGACUAUCUGGCACAUAACUGACGCUGAGGAGCGAAAGCGUGGGUAGCAAACAGGAUUAGAUACCCGAGUA
This 466-nucleotide ribosomal RNA is filed under the name uncultured bacterium. RNAcentral describes it as "bacterial SSU rRNA". It matches the Rfam family "Bacterial small subunit ribosomal RNA", at positions 329 to 792 of the family's 1533-position model. The record is from RNAcentral.